CCCCUAGAUGUUCUGGGCCGCACGCGCGCUACACUGAACAGUUCAACAAGUCUUAACCUUGGCCGAUAGGUCUGGGUAAUCUUUGAACGCUGUUCGUGAUUGGGAUAGACCUUUGCAAUUAUGGGUCUUCAACGAGGAAUUCCUAGUAAACGCAAGUCAUCAGCUUGCAUUGAUUACGUCCCUGCCCUUUGUACACACCGCCCGUCGCUCCUACCGAUUGAGUGUUCCGGUGAAUAAUUCGGACUGCAGCAGCGUGGGGACUCCUCAUGCUGCAGCGGAAAGUUUGGUGAACCUUAACACUUAGAGGAAGGAGAAGUCGUAACA
This 324-nucleotide ribosomal RNA is filed under the name uncultured eukaryote. RNAcentral's name for it is "partial 18S ribosomal RNA". It matches the Rfam family "Eukaryotic small subunit ribosomal RNA", at positions 1470 to 1796 of the family's 1831-position model. The record is from RNAcentral.